UACGGAGGGUGCAAGCGUUGCUCGGAAUUAUUGGGCGUAAAGGGUACGUAGGUGGUCUUAUUUGUCUAGGGUGAAAGCCUUGAGCUUAACUCAAGAAGUGCCCUAGAAACGGUAAGACUAGAGUCCUGGAGAGGGUCGUGGAAUUCCCGGUGUAGCGGUGAAAUGCGUAGAGAUCGGGAGGAACACCAGAGGCGAAGGCGGCGACCUGGACAGGCACUGACACUCAACUGCGAAAGCGUGGGGAGCAAACAGG
RNAcentral lists this ribosomal RNA (253 nucleotides) under uncultured bacterium. RNAcentral describes it as "partial 16S ribosomal RNA". It matches the Rfam family "Bacterial small subunit ribosomal RNA", at positions 524 to 776 of the family's 1533-position model. The record is from RNAcentral.